Molecule: ribosomal RNA, 503 nt
Filed under: uncultured Flavobacteriaceae bacterium
Lineage: Bacteria; Pseudomonadati; Bacteroidota; Flavobacteriia; Flavobacteriales; Flavobacteriaceae
Description: bacterial SSU rRNA
Rfam family: Bacterial small subunit ribosomal RNA
Source: RNAcentral
GGAAUCAUUGGGUUUAAAGGGUCCGUAGGCGGGCAGCUCAGUCAGUGGUGAAAGUUUGCGGCUUAACCGUAAAAUUGCCAUUGAUACUGGUUGUCUUGAAUUGGUGUGAAGUGGUUAGAAAUGAGUAGUGUAGCGGUGAAAUGCAUAGAUAUUACUCAGAAUACCGAUUGCGAAGGCAGAUCACUAACACUAUAUUGACGCUGAGGGACGAAAGCGUGGGGAGCGAACAGGAUUAGAUACCCUGGUAGUCCACGCCGUAAACGAUGGUUACUAGCUGUUGGGCCGAUUGGGGCUCAGUGGCCAAGCGAAAGUGAUAAGUAACCCACCUGGGGAGUACGUUCGCAAGAAUGAAACUCAAAGGAAUUGACGGGGGCCCGCACAAGCGGUGGAGCAUGUGGUUUAAUUCGAUGCAACGCGAAAAACCUUACCUACUCUUGACAUACUUGGAAGCUCUUGUAAUGAGAGUGUGCCUUUUGGAACCAAGAUACAGGUGCUGCAUGGCU